UUUGCUCCUCGCAAUUAAUUUUCUGUUGUUACUUGCCCGUCCUAUUCUCCUCCGAAAGUUAUGCGGUUUAAAAAAAAAGAUCGAUGUAAUCGGAUCUCCGAGCACAAAGUUAUUGUCUUCCGAAGUUUUCCUUUCAAUAUAAACAUGAGGAGAUUAUUUUUCCGUUGUUUCUUUAUUGACGCUU
RNAcentral lists this ribosomal RNA (184 nucleotides) under Bursera filicifolia. Lineage: Eukaryota; Viridiplantae; Streptophyta; Magnoliopsida; Sapindales; Burseraceae. The record is from RNAcentral.